GUCUAUAGCCAUGCCAUCCUGAACACACCUGAUCUCGCCUGACCUCGGAAGCUAAGCAGGGUCAGGCCUUGUUAGUACUUGGUUGGGAGACCACCUAGGAAUACCAAGUGCUGUAGGAG
This 119-nucleotide ribosomal RNA is filed under the name Pteropus alecto (black flying fox). Lineage: Eukaryota; Metazoa; Chordata; Mammalia; Chiroptera; Pteropodidae. The record is from RNAcentral.